Molecule: long non-coding RNA, 614 nt
Organism: Musca domestica (house fly)
Lineage: Eukaryota; Metazoa; Arthropoda; Insecta; Diptera; Muscidae
Exons: 3
Source: RefSeq, a predicted model, not a curated record
GUGUUAUUUGUCAGUAGUUUUGAUUAAUAAAUUCUAUUUUUAUUUUAUUUGAACAAAUACAAAAUGGGAAACAAAAAUUUAAGUUUUAAUAAUCAUUAUUGAAAGAAAGAAAUCGUUGAAUACCUAGCGUUCGUGGAUGGACAUUUGCUACCGAAACAGAAUACUUACAAUCCUUUUGAAUUGGAAAUCUCAAAUUCUCGAUUUCCCAUACUUUAUAAAAAAUCCGCUUCGCUGAUGAUGUCAAACGGACGUGAAUACUAUCAAAUAUCUACCAUAAAUACCAAGUAAGCUGCGGAUAUAUUUGCACAUUGGCAUGGUAUCUUCUGUCGCCGCCAAAACAACAAACUCAUAAGACGAUGAUGCUUUUCCUGAUAAUCUCCAUAUACGUUAAGAGAUUUUCAAAAUAAAUUGAAUAUGAUUUUAAUGAAAGAGGAAGGCAAAUCCGAUUUUAAUCCAACUUUGAAAAUCACAAUAUUUGCAUCAGUGCUAGGUCAGGUGCGAAAAUCGACAACAUGGGUUCACUCCAUCAAGUACCUCCCCCACAAGGGGUCAACAUAUUGAAUAAAUAUAACUUUUAUAAAAUGUGAUGUAAGAGUCCGAUUAUCUCCAAAAUA